GAAUCAUACUUCAAUCAAGAUCACAAAAUUAAGAGUUUGAUUCGAACAACGUUCUCUAACCGCUUAAAUUUUUAGAAAAUAGCUGUUGUUUCAUAUUAUUUAAUAAAAUGGUCAUAACUUACCUCAUAAUCUAGUAAUUUUACGCGCAAUUUAUAUUUAUUAUUCAUGAACGUAUAUUUCUGAGCUCGUUUCUCUACUAAAUCAUUCUUUUUGCUAACAAUUAUAAUUU
This 229-nucleotide long non-coding RNA is filed under the name Ananas comosus (pineapple). RNAcentral's name for it is "long non-coding RNA (ACOM_LNC027298)". The record is from RNAcentral. Lineage: Eukaryota; Viridiplantae; Streptophyta; Magnoliopsida; Poales; Bromeliaceae.